This 2432-nucleotide long non-coding RNA is filed under the name Leptinotarsa decemlineata (Colorado potato beetle). Its description in RNAcentral is "uncharacterized LOC111511814". Lineage: Eukaryota; Metazoa; Arthropoda; Insecta; Coleoptera; Chrysomelidae. The record is from RNAcentral.
GAGUGUUUUGUUUUGAGAUUUUUGUCAUUGGUUUUUAUAGGAUAUUUUAGUGAUAAUUUAAAAAAAUAUUAUUUACUGCUAAAAACAACCAGAAACCAAUGGAUAGAUUUUUUAUUAAAAAAAAAGUUCCGGAGUCUAAACAGACUGAAACUCAAAUAACAACAGUAGCAGAAAAUAUAAACCAAAUAAAUAAUGAAGGAUCAGAAUCGUGCAGUAGUGAUGACGAAAAAGAACAAAUUAAAGUUAAGCGAAAAAAGUACAAACAGUGGUUAAGUAAAAACUUAAACUGGCUUGUAAGCACAAAGGAAAAAACAUCUUACUGUCAAGUAUGUCAUAUCCAACUAACGGGAUCCUUCAGUCAUAUUAAACGUCAUGGGAAAACCCUCAAACAUCUCAAAAAUAUGAAAUCUGCACACAGAACUCCAAAAUUUAAGACUUUUAUUGAAUCGUCUCCUGAAAUGAGAUUGAUUCAAAAAAUUAGAACAUCAGAAGUUGUGAUGAUAAUGUUUUUAGCAGAACACAAUCCCCCUUUCUUAUUACUGGAUCAUUUGAACAAGUUAUUGUCUGCUGUUUGCCCUGAUUCUGAAGUGGCAAAAAGAAUAUCAAUCAACAGAAAAAAGGGAACACAUCUCUGCUUCUCAGCAGAUAGCAUUCAUGCAAAAAGACAGAUAACUUUUUCUCAUUAAUAAUCGACGAAACAACAGAUAUUAGUAACAAGAAAGCUCUAGCAAUUGUAGCACAAUAUUUUAAAGAUGGUGCUGUCCAGGAUGAAUUUUCAGUGCCGAAUUGUAGUAGUGCCAGUGCUCCCGAAUCAUGAAUGGAAGAUCGUUCGUUGAUCCGCACCUCGACCAGAUAUUUUUUUCGAGAGAGAAUGUAUCUAGUUGAAGUGGGGAUGAUUCCUGCAAUGUUGAAUGGCGAAUAGCUAUGAUGUUUGCAGAUGGCUUAAAAGGACAUUAACAUUGCCUACUCAGGUCACUAGGUUGAUGACCUAAGCCGUAGACACGUAAAAAAGGGCUAUUUUUUAUCAAAUCAGUUUUCCCAUAUGCAUAUGACAAACCAAAAAAUGCAUCAAUCUGCUAGUGGCCUCAGCAACUAGGGCUAUUCGACUAGUUGGUAACGGAUGUCGUUUAUAAAGCCAAACGUGGCCUCACUUGAAUGGAUUUUAAUGCAAGCUAUUCGUAUAGUUGACAUAUGACAAAAUGCUACAAUGCUCUUCAGAAUCAAAUAAACACUACGCAAUAACAUUCCAAAAGUAUUUUAUUCAAAAUGGCAUAUAUAGGCAAAAUUAUUGUGACAACGUCAAAUGACAGUGGCAGUUAUAACAUAAUUCAUGGUUGUCAUAACUGUCACAAUAAUUUAAGCUAUGUUUGACUCCAUUUUGAAUAAAAUACUUCUUAAUUAUUAUUACUUAAUGUUUAUUUUUGUUCUUUGGCAGUUGUCAAUGGAUAAUGUGGGUUAAAUAUUGUGAUAAUAUGAAAAGACAUUGACAGUUGAUUCAGAAAUCAUGGUUGCCAAAAAGAAAUUAUGGAAACGGGCCACCACUUUAUCCUUAUCGAAUAUCGUCAAUUGUUGAUAAUUACAAAUAUACGUUAAACGUGGUGGGUCAGUUUCAUAAUCAUCUAAGAAAUCAUGGCCAUUGUCAUUAUAGUCAACAUUGUCAAUAAUAAUUGUCAGAACUGUUAUUUUACAUAUGGUCCUUUGAUGAAUCAUAUUUGAUACAUAAAGGCCAAUUUGUCUUUGAAUUUUUCAUAAUUCACAACCUGUUAAACACACAUAUCUAUGCCCUAUAUUCAGAACAUUUUUUCUAAGGUGUGAGAAAUUGGUCGAUUCAGUACUGUUUACUACAAAUUCAGUACUUUUUGAUGUAUAAAUUCAGUACCAAAAACAAACUCCCUAGAACAACGCUGAGUGGUAUUAGACGAGUGCCGAAACCAGCCUUGAGGCAAUCAUUGUCUUCCAAACAGCGUCUACCGACUUGAAGAACUACGGAAACCAAAAUCGUACAAUGUUUCAAUUGCAAGAUGAUGGGCCAUUACCAGUCGGAAUGUCCCCGAAAACGCCUGGAAUGUCGUCGGUGUCAUUUAUUGGGCCACGAAGAAUCCAAGUGUACAACGACAACGACCUCAAUUCCGUAAGCAUGGAAAUAAAUCAAACGAGGGUCCACAGGUCUAGGUGCUUCUUCACGAGGGCGUGAAGUAUAUCAGGAUGGCCGACUGUAAUAACCUUCAACGUGUAAGAAACCACUAUCGACAUGGGUGGAAAAAAACGCGGUACCCGAAAAAAAACACGGGGCCCGUGAGAUUGGAUCACAGAACACCAGGGUGUUCUGUGAUUGGAUGGGAAUUAGUCAGUCAUAGUUAGUCACAGUGAUGUUACGUGCAGUACAAUUGUACUGAAUCUAGUACAAUCGAACUAAAUGCAGUACGGCAGUA